RNAcentral lists this ribosomal RNA (520 nucleotides) under uncultured bacterium. Its description in RNAcentral is "bacterial SSU rRNA". It matches the Rfam family "Bacterial small subunit ribosomal RNA", at positions 47 to 611 of the family's 1533-position model. The record is from RNAcentral.
CCUAACACAUGCAGUCGAGCGCGCCCUUCGGGGUGAGCGGCGGACGGGUUAGUAACGCGUGGGAACGUGCCCUUUGGUACGGAAUAGCCUCUGGAAACGGAGAGUAAUACCGUAUGAGCCCUUCGGGGGAAAGAUUUAUCGCCAAAGGAUCGGCCCGCGUUAGAUUAGGUAGUUGGUGGGGUAAAGGCCUACCAAGGCGACGAUGGAUAGCCGACCUGAGAGGGUGAUCGGCCACACUGGAACUGAGACACGGUCCAGACUCCUACGGGAGGCAGCAGUGGGGAAUAUUGCACAAUGGGCGAAAGCCUGAUGCAGCAACGCCGCGUGAGCCGAUGAAGGCCUUCGGGUCGUAAAGCUCUGUCCUAAAGGAAGAAUUUUUGACGGUACUUUAGGAGGAAGCCCCGGCUAAUUACGUGCCAGCAGCCGCGGUAAUACGUAAGGGGCUAGCGUUAUCCGGAAUUACUGGGCGUAAAGGGUACGUAGGCGGUUUAUUAAGUCAGGGGUGAAAGGCUACGGCUCA